CCCGACUGCUAUUUGGGUGAGGAUAAGCCAUGCGAGUUGGAUGGGAUACCUAAACUUCCCAUAGCAAACUGCUUAGUAACACAUGAUCAACUUGCCCUAUGGAGAAAAAUAACCUCGGGAAACUGAGGAUAAUGUUUCAUAGUUGAAUAGGCUUGGAAAAGUUUUUCAAUGAAAGGAAUAAGAUAAAUGGUUCUUAUUUGCCAUAGGAUAGGAUCGUGGUCGAUUAUGGUAGUUGGUGAGAUAACGGCUCACCAAGCCGAUAAUCGAUAGGGGCCGUGAGAGCGGGAGCCCCAAGAUGGGUACUGAGACAGCGACCCAGGCCUUACGAGGCGCAGCAGGCGCGAGACCUCCGCAAUACACGAAAGUGUGACGGGGUUACCCAAAGUGUUCUCUUAAGAACUGUGGUAGGUGAGUAAUGUCCCCUACUAGAAAGGAGAGGGCAAGGCUGACUAGAAUGAGGAUAUUAAGAUUAUUUAUAAUCCCUCUUUUAGGCCUAAGUGCCAGCCGCCGCGGUAAAACCAGCUCUUCAAGUGGUCGGGAUAAUUAUUGGGCUUAAAGUGUCCGUAGCCGGUUUAGUAAGUUCCUGGUAAAAUCGGGUAGCUUAACUAUCUGCAUGCUAGGAAUACUGCUAUACUAGAGGGCGGGAGAGGUCUGAGGUACUACAGGGGUAGGGGUGAAAUCUUAUAAUCCUUGUAGGACCACCAGUGGCGAAGGCGUCAGACUGGAGCGCGCCUGACGGUGAGGGACGAAAGCCAGGGGAGCGAACCGGAUUAGAUACGUCGGUGCUAGAAUAAUAAAAUAACUAACACCAUGCUAAAAACCCGGGUAGUCCUGGCCGUAAACGAUGCAUACUAGGUGAUGGUACGGCCAUGAGCCGUAUCAGUGCCGUAGGGAAACCGUUAAGUGUGCCGCCUGGGAAGUACGGUCGCAAGGCUAAAACUUAAAGGAAUUGGCGGGGGAGCACCACAAGGGGUGAAGCCCGCGGUUC
This 988-nucleotide ribosomal RNA is filed under the name uncultured archaeon. RNAcentral's name for it is "bacterial SSU rRNA". It matches the Rfam family "Archaeal small subunit ribosomal RNA", at positions 21 to 903 of the family's 1478-position model. The record is from RNAcentral.